GUCUACAGCCAUGCCACCCUGAGCAAGCCUAAUCCCAUCUGUUUGCAGAAGCUAAGCAGGGUCGGGCCUGGUUAGUACUUGGAUGGGAGACCACCUAGGAAGACCAGGUGCUAUAGACA
Molecule: ribosomal RNA, 119 nt
Organism: Pteropus vampyrus (large flying fox)
Lineage: Eukaryota; Metazoa; Chordata; Mammalia; Chiroptera; Pteropodidae
Source: Ensembl